Molecule: long non-coding RNA, 2098 nt
Filed under: Salmo salar (Atlantic salmon)
Lineage: Eukaryota; Metazoa; Chordata; Actinopteri; Salmoniformes; Salmonidae
Description: lncRNA (ENSSSAG00000091607.1)
Source: RNAcentral
AUAUCAUAUACAGUGUAUGGUAUUGGCAGCAUUUAUUUUAGCUUGGAACAUGUUUUUAAAACCCACAUUUUAAUGCAAAUGUAACUUAAAUAUGAACAAAUAUGAAUCGAUGUUAAUGUUUAGCCUAUUAUGUUUCAUAUAUCAUGAAUAAAUACAGGUCUGCGACCCCCUUUCUACGAUUACGUUGGGGACUUCCAUUUGGACAAUUUUCGUAAUUCCUUGACCCGGAAGUACGUUUUUAGUGUUGCUGGUAUGCCUUUGUAUAAUACCCCUCUGGCUGAACAUGUCAAUUCUUUAAAGGUCAGAAAGCUCAGAACAGUUUCAUAAACUCCUAUUUAAAUUUUUUUGAAUUAAAGUGUUGCUGUAAUUGUGAAUGUUUUGAGGAUCAUUUAGAUUUCCCAAGUUUAAGUCCAUGUUUACUACUGUCAACGAACGGAAGUUGUUGGACACCAUCGGACGACUUUGUGUGAAACACCGGCGGUAUUUUCGAUUCUUCACCCAGCCCAGUAACACCAGCCCAGUAACACCAGCCCAGUAACAGUGAGGUCGGAUAUGGAGGGUUGCUGAGUCCUGCUCUCUACCACGGCCCGUCAGCCAGUCCAGCCGGACAGGACUCGGGUCAGGAGACGCAUCGUUAGGACGACAGGAUGAGCUCCUCGCCCCCCGCGGCCAAGAGGAAAUGUUACAUGGGACGACAUCAGAUCAUCAAGAAAAACAGUGUCCCCGACCCUGAGCAGCCACUCACCCCAAGACGCUCCAGUCGCCUGCAAACCGCUCACACACACACGCUGCCUGACAACACACACAUGCUGUGUGACAACACACACACGCUGCGUGACAACACACACACGCUGCCUGACAACACACACACGCUGCCUGACAACACACACACGCUGCCUGACAACACACACACGCUGCGUGACAACACACACACGGCCCAGGAAGUGGCUGCAGGACAGGUGUGUGUGGUAGGAGACUCCUCUUUAGACCCUGGAGAGGAGAUGCCUCAGGUGCUGGAAGCUCUGGAUCCUGGAGGGAUGAAAUUAACACAUGGGGUAGAGAUGGGGGUAUCUUUAAUCCGGAGAGGGGUAUCCCACGCCUCAGCAGCUCCAGCCCAGACCUCCCUGACACCAGGACCAGAGGACGGGGCUAAGGUUGGACUAGGACCAGAUGUGUGUGAGCAUCCAGGGCUGGUUCAGACAGCGGACCGUAAGGACCUGGCUCAGUGCCUGCUGUUCAGUGAAGACUCAGAGGACAGAGAGCAUGCUGGGACGCUUCCACACAGACCUACGGACGCCCCACCCCCUCAGAAGAACUGUAGCUCCAGAGGUAGGAAGCGCAGGGCCAGGGGAGGAGCUCUGAGACCACACCCACAGGAAGAGGAAACGGUUCCUGCCAGAAUGCUGACUCCCCAUUGGACGUAUCUGAUGACUUCAUCCUGUUCAGCCCCUCCCUCCUGGCGCGGGCGAGGGAGAGAGCGGCGCUACAGCGGUCUCUGAGGAACAACAUGUCAGCCUCUGUUCUCACGCCCCCUACUGGGCUGGAGGCCAGCACACUCAACACCACAGGGGUUGGUCUAUCAGCGGUGUGUAUGCGUCCAGACGAGCAGUGUGACAGGUUGUUGUUGUCCAGCUGGGGUCUACCUGCUGCGGUCCUUCAGCGUUACCGUCGUCAUGGUGUCGUCUCCAUGUUCCCCUGGCAGGCUCAGUGUCUCAGUCUGGGACGCGUGCUGCAAGGACAAAACCUGGUCUACUCAGCCCCAACCAGUGCAGGGAAGACCCUGGUGGCAGAGCUGUUAAUGCUGAAGAGAGUACUGGAGACGAAGAGGAAAGCUCUGUUUAUUCUGCCCUUCGUAUCCCUGGCCAAGGAGAAGAUGACCUACCUGCAGGUACAGUGGAAGGUAGACAGGGAUAGAGGGUAGGAGAGUCAGAAAUGUUCUGUGUAUAUGUACAGUGCUUUGCAAAAGUAUUAAGACCCCUUGGAUUUCUUCACAUUUUAUUGUGCUUUAAAGUGGAUUUAAAUGUCUUUUUUUGGGGGGGGGUCAACAAUCUACACAAAAAUUAAACAACAAAAAUAUAGCCGUUGCAUAAGUAUUCAG